CCGGCCGCUCCCUGCCCCCGGCAGCGCGUUAUUCCGAGGCGGGCGGCGGGUCCGGUGGGAAGGGGCGAGGGGGGCGGCGGGGCGGUUGCCAGGGGCGUUCGGGGGAAUCCGCUAUUUCCCUUCCCCUGUGCUCCCCGCUCGCCCCCGGUCCCUCCCUCGGGCACAGGGGACGCGGAGCGGGUGGAUCGGGGGUGGCGCGGGGUACUCGGUGUCCGGCGGCGAACGGUCCCGGCGCUUUGGUACCACCGAAGAAAGAUGCUCUCUAUGAAUAGAGAGAGUGCCUAUUUACUCUGAAAUACUUGGCACAGCGAGUGGAGUGUGAAGCAUGGAAGAAGUGGCUAUUAUUUUCCCACCGCCUGUGUGUGCAGCUGUCAUUUCUGAGCAACAUGUUCCUCGCACAUCCCUGCUUCCCAACCUUGCUGAUGGUCCGCCCCAGGAUUACAACAAGAAGAGAAUGGCAUGCCGCUGCACUCAGCCAAAACCUUAACACUGUGGUUUGUAUUUGACUGAACCCAAGACCUAAGCAUUGUGGCUUGGAUUAAGUCAUUGCAGAUAACUGCUAUGAUGCUUGUUGGUUUUUUUUUUAGCCAGGAGGAUGGCUCUUCCCCUGCCUGCUGUGUAUUAUUUGAAUAUUCAGUGAUGUCAUGUUGUUUGACCUCCGCUUAACGCAAGGAAUGCCAAUGUUUUGGCUUUUGACCUGUGGAAGUAUGUUAGUGUUUAGUAAGAGAGACCAGCUUAAUGCAUCACAUUAAGCAAUCUGAAAUCUGGUAGUUACCUUAAGAGAUCUCAUCUUUUGUAUGUAGGCUUUCCCCCACUACCAUUCCCCCUCGCCCCCCACUUCUUCCCAUCCCUCCAUAUCUAGGCAUGCUUCCAUGCUAUGAUGCAGCAAUAUGUAUGCACAGGAUUCAUGAGGGGAAAAGAAGGUCUUCUAUGUAAUGCCCCAGUAGAACUAUUGUACUGUAAAACUGUUACUUAUAUUCUGCCGGCAUUGUACUGUGUCUGGAAAAGUCAUUUGGAUGUAAUUUCUUCUACUUGAAAUUCUCCAUUAAAAGAAAUGAGAUUGGCUCUGAAAGAAAAAAUAAAUCCCAGAGGAAUAGUUAUGGUGAAUAAUGUAUGUUCCCAAAAUCAUGAGGUCUCCUAAAAUCUGUAUUUACUUGAAGGACUCCAGUGGCCUCAGUGCUGGGUAAAUAGUAUGUGUACCAAACUAUGUAUGACAUGCAUACCAAAAUGCAAAUGUAACCAGGUAAACAGAAUGCCUUUUUUAAAUGCCUAAAUAAGGUAGGAGAACAUCAGAGAGAGAGAGAGAGGCUCUAGACAUGUUUUAUAACUUUCCAUGUAAGAGGUUUUUUCAGAGAUACAAUUUUAUUAAACAAAACCUAAGAAUCUUACUGACAGAAAAAGUAUGUUUAAAAGUAACAAAUUACCAGAAAGCCAGGAAAUCCAAAAUUAAAGGAUAAAUCUGUCCUAAGUCCUCCCACUGCAGGCCAAGUACAGCAAGCCCCAUACAGUUGCUGCCCUGAGAAAAACUACUUGAAUAGGUGUUUGAAUUCAGAACUAAUUCUGGUCUUGCACCACUGUGGAUCAGGCAUUAGCCCACUAAAUUAGAAGUUGUGCCAGCACACGCAGGGGGGUAAGAAUCAGAGUCCAUGGGAGUGCCUUUUGGUCAUCUUGGUUUCUGUGUUGUUAGAUGUGUCACAAUGGGUACCUCAUUUAUGUGUGUGUAUUUACUCACGGGGGCGAAGGGAACCUGGAAGCAAAGGCAGUUCUUUCAGACUCCAGUCAGUCUUCAGCUUAUCCUUUCUGAUGACAAUCCCAGAAUCCUCAAGGUUGGAAGAGACCUUCAAGAUCAUUUAGUCCAACUGGCAAUGUGACACCACCAUAAUCACCCCUAAACUAUAUCCCCGGAUACCACAUCCAGGUGUCUCUUGAGAAGGCCACAGGUUGGAGAAGUACAUCUUGGCAUUGAUGCAUAAAAUGAUUAAAAUGCACUAAUUUUGACUUCCAUGCAGGUAUUUAUAUAGCACAUGCUUUUAAGAUAGUAUAUUUUUUCUGCUGAAACUAGGAAUUCACUAUACCGGCCUUGCAGACUUGUUUACACAGCUAUAUAUGGUAUGUGUGUGUCUACAUCAGCUUCAGUUGGUGAAGUCUUGUAAAAUGUACAGGUGUGGAUUACUACAUUCCUCUCUUGUGUUUUUCCUUCUUUUUUUUUUCCUGCUUCCCCCCAAAAAGUCACUUGAUCAGGUAUCAGACAUAGUGAAAACCUGGCAAGACUACAGGAAAGUGGCUAGACUUGGAGUGUUUGUGUACUUAAAGAAAGAAUCUUGCACAUUUUCAACUUUCAGUCACAGAUUUUUUUUAUAAGAGCAAUUGGAGGUCUGAGCCAGGCCUCAAAGCGGAAAUCAAAAGCUCCCAGAGAAACAUACCCGAGGAAUGUGAAUCUGAUCCAACAACCAUACGCAAUGCACAUACAGUACUGUCAGUCUUAUAGGAAGUCUUGCCAUAUAUGGACAUCUGGACCCUGAGCUGUUUAUCAUCACGAUAGGCUUGUAGCUGGCCUCAGACAUUUCUGUCUUGCCUCAGGUUUAGUGUGCCAAUUAGUUCCUUUCCCAAAACGCUCACCAGGAUAUUGCUUUAAAAUUGUAAUAAAUAUAUCUCAAAAUUCUGAGAGGUCUGGUUAAAGUUACGUUAGUAGGCUUUUGCUUAAAAUGCAGAUUCCAAGAAAGACUUACUCUGCUAGCUCAGAAAUAGACACAGAAUAAAAAUAAAGAGAUUUAUUCCAUCGUUAA
Corvus hawaiiensis (hawaiian crow) is the source of this 2786-nucleotide long non-coding RNA. RefSeq lists it as uncharacterized. Lineage: Eukaryota; Metazoa; Chordata; Aves; Passeriformes; Corvidae. The transcript has 2 exons. The record is from RefSeq and is a predicted model, not a curated record.